CUUAGCCUCGAGGCACUCCUCGGCGGACAGGGAGCGGGUCGCGAUUACCCAGUCUGCCCCCUGCAGGACGCACCAACCAUGGGCCGACGCACCCCUAAACCCACGGCUGGAAAUACUACCCAAGGUAGGGACAUAGGGGAAAUGCUGCUCCGAUCAGCGCAGACCGCGCCAGCAUAUGAGGAUUUCCCGCCAAACAUGGCCCCCGUCCCGGAGAGAGAGGGAGAGGAGAC
Non-coding RNA from Pelobates cultripes (western spadefoot toad), 230 nucleotides. NCBI's taxonomy places the organism in Eukaryota, Metazoa, Chordata, Amphibia, Anura, Pelobatidae. The record is from the annotation of a GenBank genome assembly.